CCUCUGAGAACCUGUUAGUCCGCUUGCGGGGGUCGCGGCCGGCAAGAAAACAAAUGAUGAAUGUGAAGGAACAGUAACACGGAAUUUUUACCAUUCACCAGUCGCAAAACUGUUUAGAGGGAAAAAGUUUAAAUAAAUGAAGAAUUCAGAGCCUGAACGUAAGCCGAAAGCAAGAUACCAAAAAAGGAAGAAAAGAUCAAAGAACUUGGAAUAGAAGUCUAGCAAGUUGAACCCAGAUAGGAGUCAUUUCAAGACUUUGCCCUGGAACCCAGAAAUUUGCAGAAGUAAUCCACAGAGUUGGCAGCCCCAUAGAUGGUGUUAUGUACUUGAUGCUGCCUAGAAUUCUGCUAUCAGAAGACUGUUCACUUGAUGGAACAAGCACUUCAGAGUCUAGACGAUGACCUAAAGUGUUAACGAUGGUCAGUGGAAGAUGGCUAUCUACCAUACCCUGCCCCCCACAAGUAUGCAAGAACUAAGGACUUUGGAUAUCCAUGAAGAGGUUUGAUGAUGGCUGCAUUUGAAGCUUUUCCAUUAAAGAUGAGCUGGCAGAAAUUGCAGCGGUGUACC
Sus scrofa (pig) is the source of this 567-nucleotide non-coding RNA. NCBI's taxonomy places the organism in Eukaryota, Metazoa, Chordata, Mammalia, Artiodactyla, Suidae. The record is from RefSeq and is a predicted model, not a curated record.